Non-coding RNA from Myotis brandtii (Brandt's bat), 75 nucleotides. NCBI's taxonomy places the organism in Eukaryota, Metazoa, Chordata, Mammalia, Chiroptera, Vespertilionidae. The record is from Rfam.
AGUGGUUCUCGGGUGACACGCCCCAGAAUUGGGCUCCCUCCUCUCUGGUUCUGGGUGCUUCAUCUGAGAAAUGCA